CUUGAGUUUGACAUUGAAACCGGGAAACUUCAAGUUCAAGUUAAUUACGACCCAAGACAAAUAUACAAAAUUUAAAACAAUCGUUACGUACCACAAUAUUUAAGGCUUGGCUAUAUGUUUUUGACAAGUACUGGGCCCUAGGCAUCGCUAUUAGCCUGGUACAUCCAAUCAAGUACGAUAGUCAAUAGAGUCCUCGCAAAACAAAACAAAUGCAAAACAAUCACUGCUCAUUACUCAAAAUUUCCAAUCAGCAUACAUUGAAAAAGCAUUAACUAAUAAUACCUAAUUGACUUUAGUUUGAAAUCAAACCCGAUAAUCAAUAGCAAUAAUCCUCGCAAAACAAAACGAAUAGAAAACAGUCACUAGUUAUUACUCAAAAGUUCUAAUCAGAAAAAUUUGAAAUAGACAAACUACAACAUAUGGCAUUGUCUAAUAAUACCUAAUUAACUUGAUCUUGAAAUUGAACCCGGGAAACUUCAAGUUCAAGUUAAUUACGACCCAAGACAAAUAUACAAAAUUUAAAACAAUCGUUACGUACCUAAAUAUUUAAAGGCUUGGCGAUAUGUUUUUGACAAGUCCUGGGCCCUAGGCAUCGCUAUUAGCGGGGUACGUCCAAUCAAGUUCGAUAGUCAAUAGCAUUUGUCCUCGCAAAACAAAACAAAUGCAAAACAGUCACUGCUCAUUACUCAAAAAUUUCAAUCAGCAUACAUUGAAAAAGUAUUAACUAAUAAUACCUAAUUAACUUGAGUUUGAAACCAAACCCGAUAAUCAAUAGCAAUAAUCCUCGCAAAACAAAACGAAUAGAAAACAGUCACUAGUUAUUACUCAAAAGUUCAAAUCAGAAAAAUUUGAAAUAGAAAACUACAAAAUAUGCAUGAUCUAGACUACCUAAUUAACUUGACCUUCUUCUUCCAAUCCUUUUUCGGGAAAAUUGAAACCGGAAAACUUUUUAAGUUCAAGUUGUAAUACGCAAAGUCAAAUAUAAACAAUUAAAAACAAUCUAUUACUAUUCUCAAAUAGUUAAAGGCUUGGAGAAUGUUUUUAGAGAGUUUGGGCUAGACAUCACAAUUAGCAAGGGACAUCCCAAUCAAAUCCGUGAUAGUCCAAUGCAUUAGUACUCGCAAAUAAAACCCCCCCAAUGAAACAGUCAUGCUCAUUAUCAAAAAUCCAUCAGCAUACAUUGAAAAAGCUUAAUAUAAUACCUAAUAAACUUGAGUUUGAAAUCAAACACGAUAAUCAAAUAACUUUAAUCCUGCAAACAAACGAUAGAAAAAUAGUCACUAGUUAUACUCAAAAGUUCUAAUCAGAAAUUGAAAAGACAAACUAAACAUAUGCAAUGGUCUAUAAUAUCUAAUAACUUGAUCUCUGAAAUUGAACCCGUGGAAACUUCAAGUUCAAGUUAACUUACGACCCAAGACAAAUAUACAAAAUUUAAAAUAUCGUACAUACCUAAAUAUUUUAAAGGCUUGGCAAUAUUUUUUGGAACAAGUCCUGGUCCCUGGGCAUCGCUAUAUAGCGGGGUACGUCCAAUCAAGUCGAUAGUCAAUAGCUAUAAUACUCGCAAAAACAAAAGAAUAGAAAAUAGUAAUAGUUAUUACAUCAAAAGUUUAAUCAGAAAAAAUGGAAAUAGACAAACUACAACAUAGGGAUAUCUAAUAAUUACACUAAUUAACUUGAGCUUGAAAUUGAACCCGGAAAACGUCAAGUUCAAGUAAUUACGGCCCAAGACAAAUAUAAAAAACUAAAAACAAAAUUUUCGUUACGUACACUAAAUAUUUAAAGGCUUGGAGAUAUGUUUUUGAGAAGUCUUGGGCCUAGACAUUACUAUUAGCACGGUACGUCCAAUCAAAUCCGAUAGUCAAUAGCAUUAGUCCUCGCAAAACAAAACAAAUGCAAAACAAUCACUGCUCAUUACUCAAAAAUUCCAAUCAGCAUACAUUGAAAAAGCAUUAACUAAUAAUACCUAAUUAACUUGAGUUUGAAAUCAAACCCGAUAAUCAAUAGCUAUAAUCCUCGCAAAACAAAACGAAUAGAAAAUAGUCACUAGUUAUUACUCAAAAGUUCUAAUCAGAAAAAUUUGAAAUAAACAAACUACAACAUAUGGCAUUGUCUAAUAAUAUCUAAUUAACUUGAUCUUGAAAUUGAACCCGGGAAACUUCAAGUUCAAGUUAAUUACGACCCAAGACAAAUAUACAAAAUUUAAAACAAUCGUUACAUACCUAAAUAUUUAAAGGCUUGGCGAUAUGUUUUUGACAAGUCCUGGUCCCUGGGCAUCGCUAUUAGCGGGGUACGUCCAAUCAAGUUCGAUAGUCAAUAGCUAUAAUCCUCGCAAAACAAAACGAAUAGAAAAUAGUUACUAGUUUACUCAAAAGUUCUAAUCAGAAAAAUGAAAUAGGCCAACUACAACAUAUGGCAUAUCUAAUAAUACAUAAUAACUGAGAUUAAAAUUGAACCUGGAAAAAAACUUCAGUUCAAGUUAAUGACGGCCCAAGACAAAUAUAAAACAAUAGGUAUAAAAAACCAAUCGUUAUCGUACCUUAAAUAUUUAAAGGCUUGGAGAUAUGUUUUUGAGAAGUCUGGGGCCAUAGACAUCACUAGUAGGCCGGACGUACGUCCAAUCAAAUCCGAUAGUCAACAGAAGCCUCGCCAAAACAAAACAAAUGCAAAAACAAUCACGGCUCAUUACUCAAAAAUUUUCAAUCAGCACCAAUUGAAAAAAGCAUUAACUAAUAAUACCUACUUGACUUUGAUCGAAAUCAAACCCCAUAAUAAUAGCAAUAAUCCUCGCAAAACAAAACGAUAAAAACAGCACUACUUUUACUAAAAGUUCAAAUCUAGAAAAUUUGACGAAAUAGACAAAACUACACAUAUGGCAUUGUCUAAUAAUACCUAAUUAACUUGACCUGAAUGAAUUUGAACCCGGAAGGAAAACUUCAAGUUCAAGUAAUUACGGGCCCAGACAAAAUAUAAAAAAAAUUAAAAACAAUCUUACGUACCUAAAAUUUAAAGCUUGGAGAUAUGUUUGAGAAGUCUUGGGCCCUAGAACAUCACUAGUAGCACGGUACGUCCAAUCAAAAUCAGAUAGUCAACAGAGUCUCGCACAAAACAAAAACAAAUUGCAAACACCACUGCCAUACUCAAAUUUGCAAUCAGGCACACCAUGUGAAAAAGCAUUAACUAAUAAUACCUAAUUGACUUUUGAUCGAAAUCAAACCCGAUAAUAAUAGCAAUAAUCCUCGCAAAACAAAACGAAUAGAAAACAGUCACUAGUUAUUACUUAAAAGUUCAAAUCAGAAAAUUUUGAAAUAGACAAACUACAACAUAUGGCAUUGUCUAAUAAUACCUAAUUAACUUGACCUUGAAAUUGAACCCGGAAAACUUCAAGUUCAAGUUAAUUACGGCCCAAAGACAAAUAUAAAAAAUUAAAAACCAAUCGUUUUAGUUUACGCAAAAUAUUUAAAGCUUGGAGAUAUGUUUUUUGAGAAGUCUUGGCCUUAGGGACAUCACUAUUAGCAAGGUACGUCCAAUCAAAUCCGAUAGUCAAUCAGCAUUUAGUCCUCGCCAAAACAAAAAAAUGCAAAACAGUCACUACUCAUAAUCAAAAAUUCCAAUCGCAUACAUUGAAAAAGCAUUAACUAACAAUACCUAAGUAACUGAGUUUGAAAUCUCAAACACGAUGGGAAUCAUAGCAAUAUCUCGGCAAAACAAAACGAAUAGAAAAGUCAUAGUUAUUACUCAAAAAUUCUAAUAAGAAAAAUUUUGAAAUAAACAAACUACAACAAUGGCAUUGUCGAAUAAAAAAAUAUCUAAAUUAACCUGAUCUUGAAAUUGAACCCGGGAAGGAAACUUCAAGUUCAAGGUUAAAAUUACGACCCAAAGACAAAAAUACAAAAUUUAAAACAAUCGUUACAUACCUAAAUAUUAAAGGGGGGGGGGGGGGGGGGGGGGACUUGGCGAAAUUUUGACAAGUCCUGGUCCCUGCGGGCAAUCGCUCUUAGCGGGGUACGUCAAUAAAGUUCGAUAGUCAAUAGGCUUUGUCCUCGCAAAACAAAACAAAAGCAAACAGCCACUGCUCAUUACUCAAAAAUUUCAAUCAGUUACAUUGAAAAAGUAUUAACAAAUAAUACCUAAUUGACUUUAGAUCGAAAUCAAACCCGAUAAUAAUAGCAAUAAUCCUCGCAAAACAAAACGAAUAGAAAAUAGUCACUAGUUAUUACUCAAAAAUUCUAAUCAGAAAAAUUUGAAUAGACAAACAAACAUAUGGCUUGUAUAAUAAAUCUAAUUAACGAUCUUGAAAUUGAACCCGGGAAACUGCAGCUUCAGUUAUACGACCAAGGACAAAUAUACAAAAUUUAAAACAAUCGUUACAUACCUAAAUAUUUAAAGCUUGGCGAUAUGUUUUCGACAAGUAUGGUCCUAGGAUCGCAUUAGCGGGUACGUCCAAUCAAGUUGUAGGCAAUAGCAUUUGUCUCGCAAAACAAAACAAAGCAAAACAGUCACGCCUCAUUACUAAAAAAAUUUCAAUCAGCAUACAUUGAAAAGUAUAACAAAUAAUACCUAAUGUGAAUUAGUCGAAAUCAACCCGAUAAUAAUAGAAAUAAAAUUCUCGCAAAACAAAACGAAUAGAAACAUUCACUAGAGUUAUCACUCAAAAGUACAAAUCAGAAAAUUUUGAAAAUUGAAAUAGACAGAACAUACAACAUAGGCAUUGUCUUAAUAAUACCUAAUUAACUUGACCUGGAAAUUGACCGGGAAACUUCAAGUUCAAGUUAAUACAGGCCCAAGACAAAUAUAAAAAAUUAAAAACAUAGUUAAGUACUCAAUAUUUGAAGAUUGGAGAUAUGUUUGAGAAGUCUGGGCCUAGACAUCACUAUUAGCACGGUACGUCCAAUCCAAAUACGAAGUAAAUAGCAUUAGUCCUCGCAAAACAAAACAAAUGUAAACAAUCACUGCUCAUUACUCAAAAUUUCGAAUCAGCCACACAUUGAAAAAGUCAUUUUAAAAUAAUAAACCUAAUUGACUUUAGACGAAAGCAACCCGAUAAUAAUAGCAAUAAUCUCGCAAAACAAAACGAAUAGAAAACAGUCAUAGUUAUUACUCAAAAAUUCUAAUAGAAAAAUUUGAAAUAGACAACCAGACAGAAUAUUGGCUUGUCUAAUAAUACUAUAACUUGAGUUGAAAUGGAACCCGGAAAACUUCAAGUUCAAUUAAUUACGGACCAAGACAAAUCUAAAAAAAUUAAAAAAACCAAUCGUACGUUACCUAACUAUUUAACGGCUUGGAGAUUCAUUGUUUUUGACGAAAGUCUUUGGGCCUAGACAUCACUAUUCGCACGGUACGUCCAAUCAAAUCCGAUAGGUCAAUAGAUCCUCGCAACAAACAAAACAAUACAAAACAUAACUGUCAUAUCAAAAUUUCAAUCAGCACACCUUGAAAAGCAUUAACUAAUAAUAACUAAUUGACUUUAGAUCGAAAUCAAACCGAUAAUAAUAGCAAUAAUCCUACGCAAAACCAAAACGAAUAUAGAAAACAGUCACAGAGCACUAGUUAUACUGUUCAAAAGUUCAAAUCAGAAAAAUUUGAAAUAGACAAACUACAACAUAUGGCAUUGUCUAAUAAUACCUAAUUAACUUGAUCUUGAAAUUGAACCCGGGAAACUUCAAGUUCAAGUUAAUUACGACCCAAGACAAAUACACAAAAUUUAAAACAAUCGUUACGUACCACAAUAUUUAAAGGCAUGGCGAUAUGUUUUUGACAAGUCCUGGGCCCUAGGCAUCGCUAUUAGCGGGGUACGUCCAAUCAAGUUCGAUAGUCAAUAGCAUUUGUCCUCGCAAAACAAAGCAAAUGCAAAACAUGCACUGCUCAUUACUCAAAUUAAUCAGCGACAUGAAAAAGUAUUAACUAAUAAUACCUAAUUAACUUUAGUUGAAACCAAACCCAGAUAAUAAUCAAUAGCCAAUAAUCUCGCCAAAACAAAAACGAUAGAAAACAGUACACUAGUUAUUACUCAAAAAUUCUAAAGCAGAAAAAUUAAACUAAAAUAGACCAACUACAACAUAUGGACAUUGUCUAAUAAUACCUAAUUAACUUGCUUGAAAUUAAACCGGGAACUUCAAGUUCAAGUAAUUAAGGCCCCCAAAACAAAUACAAAACAAUCAAUGACCUCAUUACUCAAAGAUUCCAAUCAGCAUACAUUGAAAAAGCAUUAACUAAUAUACUAAUUGACUUUCGAUUGAAAUCAAACCCGAUAAUACUAGCAAUAAUCCUCGCAAAACAAAACGAAUUAGAAAACAGUCGUCACUAGUUAUUACUCCAAAGUACAAAAAAUCAGGAAAAUUUUGAAAUAGACAAACUUACAACAGAUGGCAUUGCUAAUAAACCUAAUUAACUUGAUCUUUGAAAAUGCACCCGGGAGGAAACGGAAAACUUCACGUUCAAGUUAAUUACGAACCAGAGACAAAAUAUUUUGGUUUAACAAAAAUUUAAAACAAUCGUUACGUACCACAAUAUUAAGCAAUAACACACCACACAUGGCGAUUAUAUGUUUGAACAAGUCCUGCGCCCUAGGCAUCGCUAUUAGCGGGGUACGUCCAAGCAAGUGACGAUAUCAUAGCAUUUGUUCGCGCCAAAACAAAGCAAAAUGACGCAAAAAAACUGCACAACUGCGCUCAUUACUCAAAAAUUUCAAUCAGCAUACAUUGAAAAAGUAUUAACUAAUAAUACCUAAUUAACUUUAGUUUGAAACCAAACCCGAUAAUCAAUAGCAAUAAUCCUCGCAAAACAAAACGAAUAGAAAACAGUCACUAGUUAUUACUCAAAAAUUCUAAGAAGAAAAAUUUGAAAUAGACAAACUACAACAUAUGGCAUUGUCUAAUAAUACCUAAUUAACUUGAUCUUGAAAUUGAACCCGGGAGGGAAUUCACGUUCAAGUUAAUUAUAACCCAAGACAAUAUAACCAAUUUUAAAACAUCGUACUACCUAAAUAUUUAAAUGCUUUGGCGAUAUGUUUUUGACAGUCCUGGUCCCUGGGCAUCGCUAUUAGCGGGGUACGUCCAAUCAAGUUCGAUAGUCAAUAGCUAUAAUCCUCCGCAAAACAAACGAACAGAAAAUAGUUACUAGUUAUACUCAAAAGUUCUAAUAUCAGAAAAAUUUGAAAUAUACAACUACAACAUAUGCAAUUAUGUAUAAUCCUCAUUACUGAGCUGGAAAUUGAACCUGGAAACCUUCAAGUUCAAGUUAAUUACGGCCCAAGAAAAAUAUAAAAAAUUAAAAACAAUCGUUACGUACCUAAAUAUUUAAAGGCUUGGAGAUAUGUUUUGAGAAGUCUUGGGCCUAGACAUCACUAUUAGCACGGUACGUCCAAUCAAAUCCGAUAGUCAACAGAGUCCUCGCAAAACAAAACAAAUGCAAAACAAUCACUGCUCAUUACUCAAAAUUUUCAAUCAUCACACAUUGAAAAAGCAUUAACUAAUAAUACCUAAUUGACUUUUGAUCGAAAUCAAACCCGAUAAUAAUAGCAAUAAUCCUCGCAAAACAGAAACGAUAGAAACAGUCACCAGUUAUUACUUAAAGUUAAUAGAAAAUUUUGAAAUGACAAAUGGCAUUGUCUAAUAAUACCUAAUUAAACUUGACUUGAAAUUGACCCCGUACAAACACCAUUCAGUUCAAGUUAAUUACGGCCCAAGUCAAAUAUAAAAAGUUAAAAACAAUCGUUACGUACCUCAAUAUUUAAAGCUUGGAGAUAUGUUUUUGAGAAGUCUUGGGCCUAGACAUCACUAUUAGCACGGUACGUCCAAUCAAAUCCGAUAGUCAAUAGCAUUAGUCCUCGCAAAAUAAAACAAAUGCAAAACAGUCACUACUCAUUACUCAAAAAUUCCAAUCAGCAUACAUUGAAAAAGCAUUAACUAACAAUACCUAAUUAACUUGAGUUUGAAAUCAAACACGAUAAUCAAUAGCAAUAAUCCUCGCAAAACAAAACGAAUAGAAAAUAGUCACUAGUUAU
RNAcentral lists this long non-coding RNA (8002 nucleotides) under Actinidia chinensis (golden kiwifruit). RNAcentral describes it as "long non-coding RNA (ACHI_LNC000772)". The record is from RNAcentral. Lineage: Eukaryota; Viridiplantae; Streptophyta; Magnoliopsida; Ericales; Actinidiaceae.